GAAGAGCGGAGCGUGUGAGCAGUACUGCGGCCUCCUCUCGUCUCCGAACCUCGCUCUCACGGCCUACUUUUACCCGCCCGCCUGCUCGGCGCCCAGAACACCUUCCACCAUGACCACCUCAGCAAGUUCCCACUUAAAUAAAGGCAUCAAGCAGGUGUACAUGUCCCUGCCUCAGGGUGAGAAAGUCCAGGCCAUGUAUAUCUGGAUUGAUGGUACUGGAGAAGGACUGCGCUGCAAGACCCGGACCCUGGACAGUGAGCCCAAGUGUGUGGAAGAGUUGCCUGAGUGGAAUUUCGAUGGCUCUAGUACUUUGCAGUCUGAGGGUUCCAACAGUGACAUGUAUCUCGUGCCUGCUGCCAUGUUUCGGGACCCCUUCCGUAAGGACCCUAACAAGCUGGUGUUAUGUGAAGUUUUCAAGUACAAUCGAAGACCUGCAGGUGUGUAUAGCACAGCUAUGGAUGCCCCUCCUCAAUCUGUGAAUGUUGUGAAGGGGAGGGAGAAGACAUUCUGAAAUCAGUAUUGGGAAGACUAGGCAAUUUCAGGACUAUUUUAAGAAUCUGAAUGAUUCUCUUCCCUGAACUUCUGCUUUGAGGAAGAGAUAAUAUGGCCCAUCUUUCUAUGGUCUUCUCUGUUGGUUGCAUAAAAUAGCAUUGGAUUUGUCCAGAUCUGUUUGCCGGUCUUGGAGUCCCCAGUAACAGCCUUCCUGCCUGGAAUGUAGGCCAGGACAAAUGUAAACCAGUGGACAAAUGUUUCUCAAAAAUUAUAGAAUGGCUCCAAGUGCCUGAGAAAUAA
Molecule: small RNA, 792 nt
Filed under: Pongo abelii (Sumatran orangutan)
Lineage: Eukaryota; Metazoa; Chordata; Mammalia; Primates; Hominidae
Description: processed transcript
Source: RNAcentral